CCUACGGGUGGCAGCAGUAGGGAAUCUUUCACAAUGGGCGAAAGCCUGAUGGAGCAACGCCGCGUGCAGGAUGAAGGUCUUCGGGUUGUAAACUGCUUUUAUAAGCGAGAAAUAUGAUGGUAACUUAUGAAUAAGGAUCGGCUAACGACGUGCCAGCAGCCGCGGUCAUACGUCGGAGCCGCGCAUUAUCCGGGGUGACUGGGUGGAUAGAGUUGCGUAGUUGGGAUAAUAAGUAGCUAGUGAAAUCUGGUGGCUCAACAAUUCAGACUAUUAGCUAAACUGUUAAGCUCGAGACGGUUAGAGGUAACUGGAAUUUCUAGUGUAGGAGUGAAAUCCGUAGAUAUUAGAAGGAACACCAAUAGCGUAGGCAGGUUGCUGGGACGGUUCUGACACUAAGGCACGAAAGCGUAGGGAGCAAACGGGAUUAGAUACCCGAGUAGUC
This 442-nucleotide ribosomal RNA is filed under the name uncultured bacterium. RNAcentral describes it as "partial 16S ribosomal RNA". It matches the Rfam family "Bacterial small subunit ribosomal RNA", at positions 338 to 795 of the family's 1533-position model. The record is from RNAcentral.